GAGAGAGAGAAAGAGAGAGAGAUAGAGAGAAGAGAGAAGGGGGUGAGGUUGGAUUGUUCAAUACCUGGAAUUAAACUUUCUUAUCUGGAAAGUUGAAUGGUGUACAGGAGUCUUGUUCCUUAACACUUCUUUUAGCACUUCUUCCUUGGUGUGAUUAACUUUGCUUCAAGUUUACUUGAAUGAUUUUGGUCCCCGCUUAGCUAAAUACUAACAAUACCUGUUUACUGCCUUGUUUAGAUUGUAGUGUGGAGUCCUUGUUCAUUUGGUCUUGAGAUCAUCUAUUAUUUAU
RNAcentral lists this unclassified non-coding RNA (289 nucleotides) under Hevea brasiliensis (rubber tree). Lineage: Eukaryota; Viridiplantae; Streptophyta; Magnoliopsida; Malpighiales; Euphorbiaceae. The record is from RNAcentral.